UGGCGGGCGGCGGCGGCGCAGGUGCGGUGUGGGGUGUAGAAACGUGGGAGAGAUGAUUGACUAACAAGUAAAAAAGGGCUCCUGGAAACCAGAAAAUUCGAAAAUUGCAUUUUAUACCUCAUCACUAAAAAUGCUAUAAAUUCUUUCUUUUUUUACUGUUUUUGGUGAAGUUUUAGGGGACCCUUCUUCAUGAACAGGGUCUUCAUAUUGAUAUAUAUUCCAGUAUUUUGGAUAUUUUAGAAAUCAUAGGUGGAUUCAGCGCUGGAUGCCGCAAGCAUUGACCCUGCCUCGACGACCGGACAAACCUGGGCCGAACGGCAGGAGUCGGAAACGCACUCGUGGGCGGACAUUCGACCGUCUUUAUUUGGCGACCUUUCUGUCAUCGCACGCGGUUUCUCAGUCAGGAAUGAAUUGUGGCAUUCAAGAUUGCGAUGCCCCGGCGCUCAUCUCGUGUCUGACUUGCGCUGUCGCCGUCUGUCACGACUGUGGCGUCGGUACCCACUCGUUCCAGCCAGUGCACAAACGUCGUCACUGGACUUCGGGUUACCUUGCGCCACUUGAACCCGUCAAAACUGUGACUGAGAAUGGAGACUUCAUAUCAUUCGUCGACGCGCAACAGACUGGCUGGAAGGAUGAAUAUCACGGUCGCGUGAUCUUGCGGACGGCUCGGUGGAUGAAAAUAGUGGAACCUACCAAUCGAAUGGUGGUCUACGACUCACUAUGUAUGUUUACUUAACAUGCGAAUCACUAUGUAUGUUUAACCAACUCAUUCACCGACUCCUGACCAAGGGAUUGAGCGAAGAUGGCCUGCAUCUCCACAUUACGUUUGUGAGGAGUGUUUCUGUUACUCAGAACUCUGCCGGUUGCAACAUUUAUAAAUUACCAUAAACUCGCUCGGCUUGGCAUGGCUGCCUAAUCGACCAUCUUGUGCAAGGGCUGACUCAAGCUUGACUUGGGGGUGUACCGGUUUUAGUUUCAUUUGCUUGUAAGGUAUUUUUAUGCUGCCAGUGCUGGUCUUGUAAUACUGCUUCCGUAUGGUGUUUGUGCUGCGCAACCGUUUGUGCGAAUGACGAUGCACACUGUUCACUUAUCUAUAGGAAUCCCAUUGCGCAAGGUCAGGUCAAGCUGGUCACGUGACCUCGCCGUUAUAAGUCGGAGGGAAAUAUGGACUGUUAUUUUUGCCCUCCUUGCAAGGUCCAAUAUUUCGUUUUUGCAUCGUUGGCUUACGUAACGUCAUUUAUUACAUCUCUAAAGUCAUAGGAUUUUUUCAUUAUGACUCUCACGAUUUUUUCAUUAUAAGUCCCGAUUAAAUUGAGUUAGCGAGUCGGAAAAGUCGCCAGUGGACUUGGGAAGACCUGCCAAAUCGAAUGAUACGCAAUAUGACCUUCGGCUUCGACUGAGUCCGUGACCUGAGUGGCGUAAACCUUACCUUGACCUGAGGCAUGCGUUACUUAUGUUCAUUGUUCAUACUUAAUUAUUUUUGUAACAUAAUCGCGUAGAUGCGCAGUAGCCAAAAGAUCUUUUCAUUCAUAGAAUAAAAAAUAUGGAGACUGGUCCCGGAAGUUAAGCUGUGCCGAAGAAUGGAUCCCCGUUCAUUAUCCAACUACACGUUAACCCUCGCCCGUAUUGGUGUUUUGCCAGCGGUAAACUCUUCUGGUUGGCGGUGUGGAUGAUAAUGUGUCCUUGUGUGUACCUGAUUUCUGACAAUAAUUGGCUUUCGAGCGUGCAAAUAAACUCUCUCUCUCUCUCUCUCUCUCUCUCUCUCUCUCUCUCUCUCUCUCUCUCUCUCUCUCUCUCUCUCUCUCUCUCUCUCUC
Molecule: long non-coding RNA, 1815 nt
Organism: Amphibalanus amphitrite
Lineage: Eukaryota; Metazoa; Arthropoda; Thecostraca; Balanomorpha; Balanidae
Exons: 5
Source: RefSeq, a predicted model, not a curated record